Neopelma chrysocephalum (saffron-crested tyrant-manakin) is the source of this 361-nucleotide long non-coding RNA. RefSeq lists it as uncharacterized. The transcript is spliced from 3 exons. NCBI's taxonomy places the organism in Eukaryota, Metazoa, Chordata, Aves, Passeriformes, Pipridae. The record is from RefSeq and is a predicted model, not a curated record.
CCCAGAAUUCAGACAGAGAGUACAUGGACAAGAGUUCAAUUUAAGCCAGAUGCAGCCAUCAGGACCAGCAGCUGUUGCUUAAGCAGAGAGCAGGGCAGGGGAGCACAGAACCACACCUUCUCAUCUCUUUGGGUGCAGCAAGAAUUGGUAUCUUGUAGGGUCAACGGUGUCUGAAGAGGAAGCGGAUGAGAGGAGAACAAGAAUGCAUGUGAAACUAUCUGGAGGAAAGGAUCCAAAUGGAAGGAGUCAGAAGUUACGAAAGGUGAACAUGUCAAGAGCAAGAUCAGCAAAAGUUUUGGAAGUGGAAAGCUGAAUGCACCAAAGGAAGACUUUUUGUCCCAGCUACUUUUAUACAAUAGAU